GUGUGUGUUCUACGUCGACCAGAAGCUCCCAAAGGAGCCAAACCCUAGCUCAAGCUUAUUUGCUCAAAUUGAAAGGGGAAUUCAACCCAAAUCUAAUGCAUGUACCCGAAUUCUUAGUCAUCUAGCCCUAAAGAUCACUUGAAUAGGAACCACACUAGCAUGGACCAAGCAUGGAAGGCUAACGGGUCAAGAUGAGGCAAGCAAGCGGGUAUGAACACAGAUGCACAAGAUAUGUAGGUGCGUAUGAUCAGACGUAUGGAUAUAUGAAUGCACGAAGUAGGAUUUAUCGUCUAUGAAAAGAAUGGGACAGGAAUGAGAACGUCAGACUCUUGUAGAAUUGAAGCCAAACCUUGAAGCCGAACUCGGAACAAAGGAAUCCGAGAGGAUAGUCGAAUGAAUCAAAGUUUAUGUUGUCGAAUGUUAUAUGAUUUAUAAUUUGUAUCAGAUUAUUGUUGUAUGACGUUGUCAAUGACUAAUGGUUAAGUUGUAUGUGGCGUCCACAGGUACUACACGGAUUUCUUCUACUGCUAAGGAAGUGAAGCGGACGUAGAUCGAGUCAAGAGCAAGGAUUGUACGGAUAGAUCGGUCACAUAGUUGAAGUAUAUAAUGUCUAGAAAUCUAAAUUUUAGUAUGAAUGUUGUGAAUUCUUUUAUAGAACGUUUAACAUUUUUAGAAUUUGGAACCUUCGUGAAAGUAAUGUCGUUAAUAAGGAAAGAAAUUUUAA
This 724-nucleotide long non-coding RNA is filed under the name Helianthus annuus (common sunflower). RNAcentral's name for it is "hypothetical non coding rna". Lineage: Eukaryota; Viridiplantae; Streptophyta; Magnoliopsida; Asterales; Asteraceae. The record is from RNAcentral.